AAAAACAAACAAAAAAUCUAAAUAAAUUAAAACAAGCAAUGUUUAUUAUACAUAUACUUUAGUUUUGAAAUUAAUUUUAUAAUUCACAUCCCGCCCGUAGGGCGGGCCGACCCUAGUAUAUAUAUAUAUAUGUGUGUGAUUUGAUCAAAAAAAAAAAUAUAUAUAUAUGUGUGUGUGUGUGUGUGUGUUAAUUCAUUUAAAA
Molecule: long non-coding RNA, 202 nt
Filed under: Brassica rapa (field mustard)
Lineage: Eukaryota; Viridiplantae; Streptophyta; Magnoliopsida; Brassicales; Brassicaceae
Description: long non-coding RNA (BRAP_LNC006492)
Source: RNAcentral